UACCAGCACCCCGAGUGGUCGGGACGUUUAUUGGGCCUAAAGCAUCCGUAGCCGGUUCUACAAGUCUUCCGUUAAAUCCAGCUGCUUAACAGAUGGGCUGCGGAAGAUACUAUGGAGCUAGGAGGCGGGAGAGGCAAGCGGUACUCGAUGGGUAGGGUAAAUCCGUUGAUCCAUUGAAGACCACCAGUGGCGAAGGCGGCUUGCCAGAACGCGCUCGACGGUGAGGGAUGAAAGCUGGGGAGCAACCGG
Molecule: ribosomal RNA, 249 nt
Filed under: uncultured bacterium
Lineage: Bacteria
Description: partial 16S ribosomal RNA
Rfam family: Archaeal small subunit ribosomal RNA
Source: RNAcentral